UUUUGGCGCGCGUGCACACACACACACACACACACACACACGCAGAAAAGAAAAGAAAUCUGGAUGUGGAUUUAACAUUUUAACAACACAAAAAAUUUAAAACUCUCUGUAGAUCAAGCUGUCUAUAGGCAAGUCGGUUUAGCAGACAGGGCUUGUCUUUUUGGCACUAGUAGGAAUGUGGCACAGAAAAAAAUGAUUUCUCACUUUCAAUUUUUUUUAGAAUUUUUUUUGAGGAUUGAUAUUUUCUGACAACUUUCAGCCUUUUCAGAAGUCAAGGGAGUCUACAGAGUUCCUUGGUCAUCCAGUGGUUAAGACUCACUGCUGUGGGCCCAGGGUUCGAUACCUGGUGGGGGAACUAAAACCUGCCAGCUGCUGGGAUGCAUUGUACAACAUUGGGAAUAUAGCAAAUAUCGUAUAGUAACUUUAAAUGGAGUAUGACCUAUAAAAAUUGUGAAUCACUAUGUUGUGUACCUGUAAUAUAUAAUAAUAUGUAAUAUGCAUCAUCUAUAUUUUAAUUAAAAAGAAGCAACCUUAGACAAAAAGACCUUAUAGCAAUUAGAUCAAUGGGAAAAAUGAGAAAUGAGCAAACAAAAAUGCUACCAAUUAUAGUCUUACAGACAUUGUGAAUUAUAAAUUUCAUUCCAAUGUCAGAGACUUUAAAAUGUCAGAAAAUGAAGGUAUUAUAAUCAUUGAAGCACAGUGUUGUCUCUAAUCCUCAAAAUGUAACUGCAAAGGAGGUAUGGUAUCCUUUGACUUUAUUGAGAUGUUGUCCUUGUAAAAUCGGAGAAGGCAAUGGCACCCCACUCCAGUACUCUUACCUGGAGAAUCCCAGGGAUGGGGGAGCCUGGUGGGCUGCCGUCUAUGGGGUCGCACAGAGUCGGACACGACUGAUGUGACUUAGCAGCAGCAAUAAUAUGUAUGAUUAUAUACCUAACAGUUACUCAGCUGUUACCUGUGCCAGGAACAGUUCUAAACUCUUUGCAUGGAUCUCAUUUAAGCAUUGCAGUGCUGUCCUGUGAGAGAACUACUUCUCUCUCUCCAUUUUGUUGAUGAGGAAAUUGAGGCUCAGAGAGGCUGAGCGACAGCUAAGUGACUGAGUGAAAGUCAAAUUCAAACCCAGGUUGAGCUGAAUCUCAAGGUCAUGGUCACUCUAUUCAAGUAAAUUGUUCUUUCAUUACUGUGUUAAGAAGAGCUAAUGCUAAUAUAUUAUCAGAAGGAAAUGAAAUAUUUGUUUUAGAGAGAUAGGAAUAGCCUGCUAUUGAAUGUUUUCAAUCACAGGAACAAUUAUUUGUUUUUAAACAGUAACACCACAGUUUCCUGAAAACUCUUGCUUUCAUAGGACUGCCCUCCAUUGGCCUGUGCCAAUGGCCAUUCAGUGGUGGUCACUCUGCUCCUGGAGAGAAAAUGCCUGCUUAACCUCUGUGACAAUGAAAACAGGACAGCACUGAUGAAGGCCAUAGAAUGCCAAGAAGAGGAGCGUGUGACUCUUCUGCUGGAGCAUGGUGCCAAACCAAAUGUUAUGGACAUCUGUGGGAACACCGCUGUCCAUUACGCUGUCUUUUGCCAGAAUAUAUCACUCGCAGCAAAGCUGCUUUCCUGUGACGCCAAUAUAGAAGCCAGGAACAAGGACACACGUGAUGUCUUGUAGCUGCAGCCCCACCAGGAACUCCCUCCACUCUCACAGGUGGGCUCAGUUUUCCUUCUUUGGAAGCUCUAGCCUUCCCUGAGUGAAAGUAUUUUGAAGGAACCAAAUUGUCUAAGAUUUCGCUUUAAAUCAUGAUAUUUCUCAAGCAUUAGAGAGUAAAGCAUUCCUUUAUGCUUUUAUGGCUGGUAUUCGUGAUAACACUGCACUUGUUAAAGGUAAAGCAUUUUCCAAAUAUUUUCCCCCACUUAAGCUUUUUUUUUUUUUUAAUCUUUCUAAAAUAACACAGUAAAGCAAAAUUUGCCUCAGUAGACUUUGUCUUAAAAUUCAAACAUAAUGAAAGCAUUUUACAACAUAUUAGAAAUCUUGCUGCUAUUCACAAAUUCCCAUUUUAUGAAAAAUGGUUUAUAUAAACACAGUUACUCUCUCAUUGCCCAAGUCUUAAGAGGGUAAAAGGAAAAGGAGCAAGCAAGUGAAAAGUGCAAGUCAAGCUGGAAUUUUGGCAGUUGGGAAAUGCCAAGAAGAGCAUUUAUUUAUUUUAAUAUUUAUUUAUUUGGCUGAGCUGGGCUUUGUUUCAGCAUGUAGGAUCUAGUUUCCUGACCAGGGGUCAAACCCAGGCCCUCUUUUCUGGGAGCACUGAGACCCAGCCACGGGACCACCACAGAAGUCCCGAGAUUUUGGUUUGUGCUUUUUAUUCCCUUCAGUUUAUAUAUUUCUUAUAUGCUUUUCAGUUUUCAGGGAUAAUAGUUGUAAUUUUGAAAAAGAGUGUGAGUUAAUUGUAAACUUGCCUAGGUGUCAGUUUUAAGAAGACUGAUCAAAACAGACUUACAGUGGUGAUUAAGUGGGAAUUAAGAGAGAAGAACAAAUAACUACCUGAUAUUAUCCUAUUCUGGCAGAUCCAUCCACUUAGAUAAGAGUCUAGACUCUGCUCUCCCAUCUAGAAUGUCUUGAUGGGAAGGAAGGGGUUUAUAAAUAAUGAGAUCAGGUUGCCUUUUGGGUUUACUAGUCCCUGUUCUACCACUGUUUACCCAGGAAAAUUAAAAAAAUUGCAGUUUUGAUGACUCUUGCCUCUUACAAUUUUCUUUUUUAUUCAAACCUUCAUGUAAGAGAAGAAAUUGGCUGUGUGAGUAAGAGAUGAGACUGGAGUGGUUGCUGCACUAAUUCUCAACUAUAUUCUGCUGGAUGACCUGACACCACUGUUACUUGUGAUAUGUGAAAGGAGAGGGCAAAUGGUGGAGUUUUUAGUAAAGAAAGAAGCAAAUAUACAUGCGGUUGAUAAGAUGAAAAGAACAGCCCUCAUGCUUGCUGUCAAGUAUGAAUCAACAAAUGUCGUCAGACUUCUUCUUCAGCAAGGUGCUAACAUCUUUUCUCAAGAUGUUUUUGGAUGGACUGCAGAAGAAUAUGCUGUUAUUAGUGGUUUUAAUAUUGGAUGAGAGCUCUGAAGAGGACUCUUCAAGGAGGUAGGUUUUUAUGGAUGUUUUAAAUUAUAUGUUUAACUAAGGGAACAUGGAGAAGAGAAACUAAUGGUUGUUGAGUGUUCUACUCUGGGUUAGACACUACAUUACGUGCUUAACAUAUGCGACCUCAUAGAGUCAUCACAGCAGCUUUGUAAAGUAGCUGUGUCCUACUUUUACUUAAUUAGACAACUGUGGUUUCAGGAGGUUAAUGAAUUGACCCUGGUUAAAAUGAGCUGACCUGUGAUUUGACAAUUGGCCUUCCUGGCUCCCAUGUCCACGCCCAUGGCCCUCAGCAGAGACUGAGAAGUACCCAUGUAGCAUAUAAGUUAAAGAUAUAAAUUAGUUCUUUGAAGUGUACAUUUUAAGUUUCGACAUUGUGGGGAAACUCCCUGUACUCCCUUAGAGUAAAGGAGAGAAGUGGUGCCAUCUCAGUAAGUGGUAUCCCUGCUGAUCUACCAAGACUCUCAUUUUGGAUGGACUCAGAUUCGUCUCCAAACCUUGAACAGACAAUGGAGAAGGAAAAGCCUAUUCUUCCACUCUAAGUCAUCAGGUUUAUUCCAGUGUGGGCAAACAAGAAUUAUUUCAAUCCAUGAAUUGGAUUUUCAGUUUAGCAAUUAGAACUUUUAGUGAAAAAUUAUUUUUAGGCUCUGCCGAUACAUUGGCUGUCACUCUGUUAUGGAAACUAAGAAUGAGUGUUAACUAGAUAUUUCAUAGAUUGGGAGAGAUGGAUGCAGAAAUAGGUAACAAAAAACUUUUUUGGAGACUUCCCUGGGGAUGCAGUGGUUAAGAUGGUUAGUAAGACAUCUUCCAAUGUAGGCAGUGUGGGUUCAAUACUGGUUCAGAGAAGCUAAGAUCUCACAUGACCCAGGGUCAGACAGCCAAAACAUAAAAUAGAAGCACCAUUGGAACUAAUUCAGUAAAGACUUUAAAAGUGGUGCACAUCAAGAAAUCUUUAAAAAAUAAAAAAAAAAGCUGUUUUAAAACAGGCCAAAUUUUAUUCAUGUCAAGAAAGUUCAUUUAAUAUAGAGACAAACUGUCACUUUUUUUUUCUUUUGUUCAAGGACAUGAGCUCACUCAUUUUUUUAAUUUUAUUUUUUAACUUUAUAAUAUUGUAUUGGUUUUUGCCAUAUAUCAACAU
This is a long non-coding RNA of Bubalus bubalis (water buffalo), 4237 nucleotides long. RefSeq lists it as uncharacterized. The record is from RefSeq and is a predicted model, not a curated record. NCBI's taxonomy places the organism in Eukaryota, Metazoa, Chordata, Mammalia, Artiodactyla, Bovidae. The transcript is spliced from 6 exons.